RNAcentral lists this ribosomal RNA (219 nucleotides) under uncultured bacterium. RNAcentral describes it as "partial 16S ribosomal RNA". It matches the Rfam family "Bacterial small subunit ribosomal RNA", at positions 30 to 273 of the family's 1533-position model. The record is from RNAcentral.
AUUGAACGCUGGCGGCAUGCCUAACACAUGCAAGUCGAACGCGUGUAGCAAUACACGAGUGGCGGACGGGUGAGUAACGCGUGGGAACCUGCCCAAUGGGAGGGAAUAACUGCGGGAAACUGCAGCUAAUACCCUAUGCUCCCUACGGGGAAAGAUUUAUCGCCAUUGGAGGGGCCCGCGUCGGAUUAGCUAGUUGGCGGGGUAACGGCCCACCCAAGG